RNAcentral lists this ribosomal RNA (254 nucleotides) under uncultured bacterium. Its description in RNAcentral is "partial 16S ribosomal RNA". It matches the Rfam family "Bacterial small subunit ribosomal RNA", at positions 524 to 776 of the family's 1533-position model. The record is from RNAcentral.
CACGUAGGGUGCGAGCGUUGUCCGGAAUUAUUGGGCGUAAAGAGCUCGUAGGCGGUGUGUCGCGUCGGCCGUGAAAACCUGCAGCUUAACUGUGGGCUUGCGGUCGAUACGGGCAUCACUGGAGUUCGGCAGGGGAGACUGGAAUUCCUGGUGUAGCAGUGAAAUGCGCAGAUAUCAGGAGGAACACCGGUGGCGAAGGCGGGUCUCUGGGCCGAUACUGACGCUGAGGAGCGAAAGCGUGGGGAGCGAACAGG